Phascolarctos cinereus (koala) is the source of this 501-nucleotide long non-coding RNA. Lineage: Eukaryota; Metazoa; Chordata; Mammalia; Diprotodontia; Phascolarctidae. The record is from Ensembl.
CUUUAAUUGCUUUUCAGAUAAAACAACCACACAAUCGUUUCUGUCCUUUCCUAGCCUCCAUUUCUCAGAAGGGCUUCUAUGGAACAGUAGUCUAAAUUAACCAGACCCUAUUCCAAAGGACUGCCAUUCCUCGGCUGCUUUGCUUUGAAUGCUCCACAUCUGGGUUAUGUGCUAAGGGCAGAGGCUGCAAAAGAAAAGGAAGGUGAUCUUUAACACUCACACCUGCAGGCCUGUGAAGAAUUGGAAUACUUUGUUUACUAUGCUGGGACGACUUAAAAGAAACAAGCAGGACAUGUGGAGUGUUGCUUCCUUUCCUCAAUUACCAGCAGAUCACAGGUGUUUAUCUGGUUCCCGGAGGUGAUUCAGAAACCUUGGAAGAUUUGCGUUUUCCUUCUAAGCAAGAUCAACAAUGUCCGCUUUUGGAGGAAACUCCCUUCUUCAGAUUGUGGAUUAUAUGUGACCUUAAUCUACAGCCUCUCCUUUUGUUCAGAUGUCACUGGG